RNAcentral lists this transfer RNA (67 nucleotides) under Ptilomera tigrina. RNAcentral's name for it is "tRNA-Ala". Lineage: Eukaryota; Metazoa; Arthropoda; Insecta; Hemiptera; Gerridae. The record is from RNAcentral.
AGGAUUAUAGUUAAAUAAUAACAUCUAAUUUGCAAUUAGAAAUUAUUCUUAAAAAGAAUUUAUCUUA